AGCAGGCCACACUUUGCACUUUGGUGUUCAUUUCGAGUUGAUUUUCAUUAUGCGCAGCUUCUUGUGUCAUUUAUCAUCUGCUGUCGAAGCAAGUGCAUACAAUUUGUCUUUAAUACUUACAGAAACCCAUGGCGUAGUGUGGGGUUAGCCUUCUAAACGACACGCGCCAGUAGCGAGGCCAAAACUGAAACAAACAAAAAUCGAGUAGUAUGGCAGGAGGCGAUUGAACCACUUUCAAACCUCAAACCUUUCUGAAUAUUCACUCCCCUUUAGCCUUUGUAGUAUUUGAGCAUUGCUUUACAAUUGCUAGCUCGCCUCAGUAUCACCCUUGUCAACCCUUGCUACUUAUGACUGCCCUCCAACUGAAAAUCUAAGAGUAAUACUACAUACAAGUAUCUGUGUAUGUAAGAAUAUGUACAAAUGUGGAUGCAUCAUAAAACCAACAUCGGUCAAUGGCAAAACAACCUACAUGUUAAAUAAAAAAGAAAACAACAAGAAACACCAAUACUGAAUUUUCAAUUGAACUCCUCACCCAUUUCGUCGCGACUUAUAAAAUGCUACAGGACACAAGCCGAAAUCUACACAUGCAUAGUCGGAUCGCCUUUGACUGCCAUAGACUCUCAGCAUUGUUUACGAGCUCUCGGCAGAAGCCCUUGCUGGCACGUGUUGGCAUUAAAA
This is a long non-coding RNA of Drosophila sulfurigaster albostrigata, 678 nucleotides long. RefSeq lists it as uncharacterized. The transcript has 2 exons. NCBI's taxonomy places the organism in Eukaryota, Metazoa, Arthropoda, Insecta, Diptera, Drosophilidae. The record is from RefSeq and is a predicted model, not a curated record.